UCUCUCGUAGCUUAGUGAUCAGAGCAUUAAAGUAAAGCCAAAGAUCCCGGGUUCGAUUCCCGGCGAGGGUG
Molecule: transfer RNA, 71 nt
Filed under: Agrilus planipennis (emerald ash borer)
Lineage: Eukaryota; Metazoa; Arthropoda; Insecta; Coleoptera; Buprestidae
Rfam family: tRNA
About the family: Transfer RNA (tRNA) molecules are approximately 80 nucleotides in length.
Source: Rfam by way of RNAcentral